RNAcentral lists this ribosomal RNA (428 nucleotides) under bacterium. RNAcentral describes it as "partial 16S ribosomal RNA". It matches the Rfam family "Bacterial small subunit ribosomal RNA", at positions 355 to 776 of the family's 1533-position model. The record is from RNAcentral.
UAGGGAAUCUUCGGCAAUGGGGCAACCCUGACCGAGCAACGCCCCGUGAGUGAAGAAGGGUUUCCGAUCGUAAAGCCCUGUUGUAAGAGAAGAAAGUGUGUGAGAGUGGAAAGUUCACACAGUGACGGUAAAUUACCAGAAAGGGACGGGUAACUACGUACCAGCAGCCGCGGUAAUACGUAGGUCCCGAGCGUUGUCCGGAUUUAUUGGGCGUAAAGCGAGCGCAGGCGGUUUAAUAAGUCUGAAGUUAAAGGCAGUGGCUUAACCAUUGUUCGCUUUGGAAACUGUUAAACUUGAGUGCAGAAGGGGAGAGUGGAAUUCCAUGUGUAGCGGUGAAAUGCGUAGAUAUAUGGAGGAACACCGGUGGCGAAAGCGGCUCUCUGGUCUGUAACUGACGCUGAGGCUCGAAAGCGUGGGGAGCAAACAGG